RNAcentral lists this ribosomal RNA (1150 nucleotides) under Vibrio parahaemolyticus. RNAcentral describes it as "partial 23S ribosomal RNA". It matches the Rfam family "Bacterial large subunit ribosomal RNA", at positions 1793 to 2925 of the family's 2925-position model. Lineage: Bacteria; Pseudomonadati; Pseudomonadota; Gammaproteobacteria; Vibrionales; Vibrionaceae. The record is from RNAcentral.
GCUGCAACUGUUUAUUAAAAACACAGCACUGUGCAAAAUCGUAAGAUGACGUAUACGGUGUGACGCCUGCCCGGUGCCGGAAGGUUAAUUGAUGGGGUUAGACUUCGGUCGAAGCUCUUGAUCGAAGCCCCGGUAAACGGCGGCCGUAACUAUAACGGUCCUAAGGUAGCGAAAUUCCUUGUCGGGUAAGUUCCGACCUGCACGAAUGGCGUAAUGAUGGCCACGCUGUCUCCACCCGAGACUCAGUGAAAUUGAAAUCGCUGUGAAGAUGCAGUGUACCCGCGGCUAGACGGAAAGACCCCGUGAACCUUUACUACAGCUUGGCACUGAACAUUGACCCUACAUGUGUAGGAUAGGUGGGAGGCUUUGAAGCACGUACGCCAGUAUGUGUGGAGCCGUCCUUGAAAUACCACCCUUGUAGUGUUGAUGUUCUAACGUCGACCCCUAAUCGGGGUUGCGGACAGUGCCUGGUGGGUAGUUUGACUGGGGCGGUCUCCUCCCAAAGAGUAACGGAGGAGCACGAAGGUGGGCUAAUCACGGUUGGACAUCGUGAGGUUAGUGCAAUGGCAUAAGCCCGCUUGACUGCGAGAAUGACAAUUCGAGCAGGUGCGAAAGCAGGUCAUAGUGAUCCGGUGGUUCUGAAUGGAAGGGCCAUCGCUCAACGGAUAAAAGGUACUCCGGGGAUAACAGGCUGAUACCGCCCAAGAGUUCAUAUCGACGGCGGUGUUUGGCACCUCGAUGUCGGCUCAUCACAUCCUGGGGCUGAAGUCGGUCCCAAGGGUAUGGCUGUUCGCCAUUUAAAGUGGUACGCGAGCUGGGUUUAGAACGUCGUGAGACAGUUCGGUCCCUAUCUGCCGUGGGCGUUGGAAGAUUGAAGGGGGCUGCUCCUAGUACGAGAGGACCGGAGUGGACGAACCUCUGGUGUUCGGGUUGUGUCGCCAGACGCAUUGCCCGGUAGCUAAGUUCGGAAUCGAUAACCGCUGAAAGCAUCUAAGCGGGAAGCGAGCCCUGAGAUGAGUCUUCCCUGAUACUUUAAGUAUCCUAAAGGGUUGUCGGAGACUACGACGUUGAUAGGUCAGGUGUGUAAGUGCUGUGAGGCAUUGAGCUAACUGAUACUAAUUGCCCGUGAGGCUUAACCAUACAACACCCA